Long non-coding RNA from Homo sapiens (human), 936 nucleotides. The record is from Ensembl. Lineage: Eukaryota; Metazoa; Chordata; Mammalia; Primates; Hominidae.
GAAUUGAAACUCACCAAAUCACCACCACCAGACAACGGGAUGCUGAGUCUCAUUCAUCAUGAUUGCUUCCUGAAGCCUUCUGAGUUCCUGUUUCCCUACACAUUGUUACAUUUCUUCCCUGCAACAUAAACCCCCAAUUUUAGUCCAUCAAGGUUAUAGAUUUGAGACUGAUCUCCCAUUUCCUUGGCUGCAACACCCAAUUAUAGCCUUCUUGGCAAUAAUUGUUGUCUCAGUGAUUGGCUUUCUUUGUGGCCAGCAGCAGGACCUAGACUGAACACCUGAUUUUCUGGUCUCUCAAAACAGAAUUUUGGCUUUUCCAGAUUGGCAAAUAGCUCUUAGUUAAAUGUGGCUUUCAAGUAUGUGUUUACUCCUUUAUGUUUCAAUUUUCCUUCAAUUUUGGCCUGGAGAGUGUCUCAACUAAGAAGCUAAAAAGGGAAAGAAAAGAAAAGCAGUUAUGUUUUUUUCCCCUCCGGCCUAUACAAACACAUACACACCAAGAAGAGAUUAACAUUUGUGUCAGUGGACUGGGGAAGGCAGAUCCACCCUUAAUCUGGUGGGCACAAUCUCGUCAGCUUCCAGCAAAUAUAAAGCAGGCAGAAAAACAUGAAAAAACACGCCUAUUCUCCCAGCCUACAUCUUUCUCCCGAGCUGGAUGCUUCCUGCCCUCGAACAUCGGACUCCAAGUUCUUCAAGUUUUGGGACUCAGUCUGGCUCUCUUUGCUCCUCAGCUUGCAGACGCCUAUUGUGGGACCUUGUGAUUGUCAGUUGCCACAGCCGCUUCAACCUUCUGCAACCAGCAAGUCAAUAGUCAUCAACAUGGUGGCCAGACCAUCUACCAACAAAAAGAUCACAAUUUGCUGAAGGCUCCAGGACUUGAGUGGAUGAGUCCUAAAUACAAUCAUAUUUAUCAUUAUAAGAAGAAGGCAACUGAAGAUU